GCGCAUCGAAAAAUUUAUCCGGAAAAUACCUAAUGACUAAUUUGUGUUUAUAAAAUACGAAUAAUUUUUGCGUUACGUGAGUCGUGAUGAAUAAUUGAAGUAUUAAAAGUAUGCAAUUUAAAAAGUUUAAGAUGUCACUCCAGUACACCGCGGUUCUUGCCUUCUGGGUACAGUCCAGAAUCCCAGAUAGAAAUUUAUAGGUAAAAAGGGGUUGAUCGAUUCUCUCUUCCCUUCUCGCUCCGCUCGAUCUCUGUCACUCGGCUACUCUCACCUCAGUGGCCAACCCCACUCCAACCAGUUGCUGAAGCAGAAGAUCCUCAAAUGGGAGACCAACCCACAUCAAAUCCCCCGAUUGAAUUGCAAGGGGAUGAGUUUUGGCCGCUUUCAGAGAAACCCUUUUUUGAAGUCGUUAUCGCAAAAGCAAAUGUCAAGCCCUCUUAUCAAAUGGUGAUCCCGGCCAAAUUUCAACAAACACUACCUUCCUGUUCAAUUCAUACGGUUCUCAUGUUUGGGGGCAAAAACUGGGAGAUGACAUAUACAUGCGGAUCUGGUCAGAGAAAGUUCGAUACUAACUGGAGAGAAUUUGUCAAUGACAACAAUUUGAAGGUUGGAGAUGCAUGUGUAUUCGAACUCCUGGAGUGCAGCAGCACAAAACUCAUAUUCAGAGUCCAAAUUCUCAGAGGUGAUAUCCCAUCUGAACUUCUACGCAAGCUGAAAGGUGAGACUGUAGAUGCACCAAUAAUUAUUGAUUAGUAUAUUCUAUAUUGCCUGCCUUUUCAUCGAUGCUCUCAUUUUCCUGAAUGAUAUUAUCGUCAGGAGCUAAUAUAAAUUGAAUAUGUGGAACUCCAGCAGAUCUUGUUAAGGAUGCUACAUCUGUAUACUGUUGAGUCCCUUAUGUUGUUCCAGUCUAGGCGUUAUGGUGUAAUCUGACAUGAUAUUUUAUAUAUGAGAAUCUAUUGUAUGCACAUUCGGAUACGUUUGAAAGAAUGUUAUUUAGUAAAGUAUUUAAUUUCUCAGAGGCCUCCUUGAGGUUUCUGUAACUGUCCUCUUUAAUAAGUUCUUACCGCUCAACUGACCUGCUGUCUCAAAAUGCAUCAAACAACAUGAGGAAUGAAUCUGAAGGUCACAUAAUCCACUAUAGUGACAAUACUUGCUAUUUCUGACGAGUUGGGAGGUUUUCUGUGGCUAUCACGAUUCUUGGCUUGAAGGACUACGUUGUCCCCAAGGGAUUAUUGAAUCUGACGAAACUGAGGGGAUGACACCGAUUUGUUAAACCUUUAGGUUGUCUUUGUUUAGUCUGUACUUUUAUUGGAUAAUUUACCAGAUGGUGAGUUCCGUCAUUUGAUUUAAGAUUGUAUCUUUUCAUUCUGUUUUUUUGUUUCUUUUUCUCUCAGAGUGAGCAGUUACUGGAAAAAAGAGCAGUUACCACUAGUUAUGCUACAUAUGAAGAUAGACCUUUACUUGAUAUAGCUAUUUGACUGUCUCCCCAGCCAACUGUAGACAAGAUUGUUUAGGCUUUCAAACCUUGGUUAAAUGCAAAGAGUAGAAUGUCAAAAAGGAGAAGAAAAUCUCAAUCCGUUUGAACUCCUGUAAAUUGCAGCAGUUUAUGUUGUAAAAGUGGAACCUGUUUAUAAGGUUUGGGGCUAUCUCAGGCGGUGAGGGGUUAGAGAUAGCAGUUAGGAGCUUGGGAUUAGGAUAGAUGAUGAACUCGAUCUGGACACCAAAAAACCCGGUUCUUACAGUCCUGUUUUUGUUGUUUAUAUGCUUCUGUGAAUUGUACUUUGAAGCAUGUGUAAAAGAAUACAUAAAAAGAAUACAACAAAAACAGAAGGGUGAAAGAUGGUUAGAACUCAUCUAAAAAAUUUCUAACAUUCUCUUUCUGACUUCUUACCUUCGACUAUGUUACAUGUAAUCUCUUAAUCUUCUCAGUCUAACAUGCAUAUACUCAUCGCUUAUGUCUAUGUUUCAUUUGAAAUCCCACACUUCUAUAAGCUUUUCCCGAAGUUACCAUUAUAUGAAAGCCCACACAUCUAUGAGCUUUUCCAAAAGUCACCAUUUAUAAAAAUAUGAAAAUUCCAAGCUAAGAGGAGGUUUGUAAGGAGGAUUCUGUGACUUGUGUCUGAUUUCUGUUCCUCUCAAACCGAUUAUAAGCGGUCCUUGUCCGUAGGAAUAGCAAGAAGCUUGAAGUUAAACCUACUAUUGAAAUACAGCCCCACCAUAUGAAUGUCUGCCUAUAGCAUGACCUUCCCAUGCACAAUGUUGCAUCCCUUAACAAGCUCACUGGGGUGGUUGAGCUUCCUUCAUUGGAAUCAUAUACCAAAGCUGCAAGAAGGCCAUAUAGGAGUGAGCCAAUUGGGAUGUUGGUGAUGAGGAUGUUGUGGUUUACACCGGCGCUGUUUGGGCCGAAAAGCUCUGAUGUGACUGACACAGCUGCAGAAAACACAAAGCCAGAGCUUAUCCCGAUUAAGCCUGUUCCGGUACGCAGCAUUGCCUCACUGCCUGAUGCGGCCAGCAGAAAGAAGGCAAUUGGUGUUGGCACCAGAGCAACCACUAGCCAUCCAGUCCUUGCAAAAUAGACCUUGCUGCAUUAGCAAGACGCAGCUGAGAGCAAACGGCCGAAGAAGGAGCAUGAAGAAUAUACUGUGACAAGAGAACUAGUCAGGGAACUGUAUCCAAGUGAUUCUGAAAUCUGGCCUAGAUUGUUGCUGUAGACCAACCCAAUAGUUGCCCCACAUAAGUAUGCAGCAUAGUAUAGCCAAAAAUCCCACCGGCGUACGAGCAGCCUAGCUGAGUGCUCUUCACCUAGCACUGUCAACCUGUCUUUUCCCAUCACCUUCCCAAAACAAGCGAAACACCCAAAAAAGCCUUCCCUGUGUAUCAGCCCAUACGAACUGGUGUUGGUGGGAUUUGUGGCAUUCGUGGCAUUAUCAUUUUCACUUCCAGCAAUGAGUUCCUUAUGGAGCUCAAGAUCAUCAGUGUCAACCAGAUUGAAGGUUGACGAGAUUUCAGAAAGGAAGCUUGAGGGGGAGUUCCUACGAGCCCACUCACGCGCAUAUGCCAUUCCAGGCAGAGACAGAGGUAGGAUUAGGAGACAAAUCGCACCAACUAAGAGUAUCCGAGCUUUUGACGCAUCAGAUGAUAGUGAGUUGAGGAGGAGGAGAUAUAGGCCUGUGACCACAGCUAGGAUGUAUAGGCAAAGAAAAAUCAUGGAGUCACGGCGAGUGGCCUCAGCGGGAAGGGGCUGAACUGGGGGCUGACGGAGCACAGGGAUGAAUAUAACGACGGAUGGGAAGAGAGGAACUACAGCAUUAAGGAGGAGGUAGAUGGUAUCACUGUUAGGGUUUAUUGCAUUGGCAAUGAGGGUGUAGAGGGCUGCACUUAUCCCAUUGUAACUGAUUGAAAGGGACAACGCGAGUGCGCGGUUGGCUUGGAAGUGUCUGAUGCAUAGAACAUAGCAGACUGUGUUGAACCAGCAGAUGCCGGAUCCAGCCAACAAGCAUAGAAGGAAUACCUGCCAAGCCAAAACACUUAACAUUAAUCAUCUGGUAUUGUUCAUAUCGUUCGUCUUUGUUGUCGUAAACAAUUACUUCAUAGGAGGCGAAAGAUAUAUGUCCAUGUGACAAAUCAACAUCUUUCAUGCUUGACAAAUAGUCUGAACAUUCAUUGUCACGUUGGAAAUGUGCCAUAAAGCCAAUCAUGAGAUGAUACUUUACGAGCAUUUUACAUAUUAAACUAAUCUAGUUUAAUGUAAGGGCAAGCAUUGUUGUUUUAAGUCAUCUCAUUAAAUGUUAUACGCUUGAACAAUAAGUUAAAGGAAUAUGUAAUUAAGAUAAUGUAAUCUAAAGAUGUAAGAUUCAUG
Malus domestica (apple) is the source of this 3859-nucleotide non-coding RNA. The record is from RefSeq and is a predicted model, not a curated record. Lineage: Eukaryota; Viridiplantae; Streptophyta; Magnoliopsida; Rosales; Rosaceae.